RNAcentral lists this transfer RNA (708 nucleotides) under cyanobacterium CBW1117. RNAcentral describes it as "partial 16S-23S ribosomal RNA intergenic spacer". The stretch from base 340 to 412 matches the Rfam family "tRNA". The record is from RNAcentral. Lineage: Bacteria; Bacillati; Cyanobacteriota.
GAAGGAGACCUACUAAGUUAAUACCUGAAAGCGAAUUGCGAAUAGGGUUUAGCUGUAGUCACCUAAGGUCGUUGAGGGUUUUGUUAGUUCUGCUGGUUAAGUCCAGGCCUCUUCCAAAUUAUUCAGGUGUUAUGACCUGGUGUAGAAUACCAAGUCGAUACACCAAGACAAACGGGCUAUUAGCUCAGGUGGUUAGAGCGCACCCCUGAUAAGGGUGAGGUCCCUGGUUCGAGUCCAGGAUGGCCCACUUUCAGACAGUGUGAAGUCAGGAGUUAUGAAGGAUGAAAAGGGUUACGGCUCACUUCAUCGUUGAUUGUUCCCACUUCCUCGUUUAGUUAGGGGGGUAUAGCUCAGCUGGUAGAGCGCCUGCUUUGCAAGCAGGAUGUCAGCGGUUCGAGUCCGCUUACCUCCACCACAUUUUACGAAGAAAGCAAGCUACGAUAAAAAUCAGCAACUAGGGAUGUAAACAUCUACGGAAGUAGAGUAUUGAACAUCAUAGAUUGCUGGUCUUUCGAGACUAGCGAGAACCUUGACAACUGCAUAGAAAACUAUAAGAAAGCAAAGGUAGUUCAAAGUCUGUUGCAGACAUUUGAGAAACAAAGAAGCCCAAUGAGCUGAGUAGGUUAGGCGAAUCAAUAGCGAGAGCUAAGGGUUUGAAUAAUUUAUUCGGUUGCAUAAGCAAUCGACCUUCUCCUAUCCAAAGAAGCA